Molecule: long non-coding RNA, 2479 nt
Organism: Tympanuchus pallidicinctus (lesser prairie-chicken)
Lineage: Eukaryota; Metazoa; Chordata; Aves; Galliformes; Phasianidae
Exons: 2
Source: RefSeq, a predicted model, not a curated record
UUUUUUUUUUUUUUUUUGUUUUGUUUUGUUUUGUUUUGUUUUGUUUUUUUGAAGAAACGAAGAUUUAAAAAUGCAGUUCUGGUUUGAACAGUCCUUAUCUUCAGGCAGCAAAGUUGUGGACAAGCAAUGGGUGCUCUUUCAUGUGCACGCAGAAGAUAAUGUCACUUAUGAAUACAGAAGGCUUCUGGGCUCUGCAACAGCUAUUGGUGCAACGGAGGUGUCAUUCCUGAUGUGCAAGCUGACGUGGAUGGAACAGGAUGCCUGAAGAGGAGGUGGAGUCACCAUCCCUGGAGGUGUUCAAGAUCCAUGGAGAUGUGACACUCAGGAACGUGGUUUAAUGUGUGAUAUUGAUGGCUUAUGCAAGCACAUUUCACAUGCUUCAGGCAGCAAAAAGCUCAGAAAAGUCUGAAGUUGUUGGCGUGAAGUGUUGUGGACCAUUCCCAAAGCCACACUCAGCAUCAUGGACUUUCAGCUCUGCACCCAUCCCACUGCAGAAAUCUCUGCUGGCUCAGAGAAGCAGUUUGCAAUCCCUGUGCUCCAACAUCACUAAAUAGAGACCUUUUUACCGUUAGGUUUUCAUAUUCUGAAGAAGAUGAUCAGCGGCCAUACACACCAUUUAUUUCUGUAGCUCUGCAGAACCAACACGAGCCCAAGUCUUCAGUAUGGCUUCGAAAUGCAUACCUCAGUUUGGAGCCAUAGAUGUGACCUUAUUCUUCCCUUUAUCCCUUACACUUGACCUUGAUCCAGUCAGUCAUAUGUUGUUGUUUCUGAAGAGUGGCAAUGCAGAAAAUGCCAGAUCUCUGAUUUAUUUGUGGUUAAGAAAACGAUUCCUGCGCAAGCUGAAAGCUUCCCUCCUUUUAAUUGUAGCACCUGCCUAAACCCUUAACCUCUCCAAAAUCGCCCUCAGUGCUGGAGUUGUUACUGCAGCCCCAGUGCUCCUGGCAACUCCUUAUCCCUUGGCAGAGAAGGAGAAGACAGUGCUGUCUUAGCACAGCCACUGCCUGCAGCAGAGCCAGGACAGGGGAUGGAGUAGGGGCUGUUAAGAGAGGCUGUAACAGAUUGGAGAGCAAAUGUAAAAUGAAAUCCUCCAAAUUCAGUGGAGAGCAGCUUGCCCUUUCAUACUCUCAUUGAAGCCUUUUCUCCUUGACAAUUGGCUGAAAGGACCUCUGUUGUUUUUUACUUAACACAUCUGUGGAUUUAUUGCAAGCUGAUGCUUUCUGUUUUACUUCUACAUGACACAAGCAGAAGAUGGGGAGAAGAAUUCAACCCAGAUCUCUGACUCAACACUGCAUUCUAAGUGUGGUGAAGCCCCACAUGGUGCUGAUGUGAGAGAGUCCUGCUUGUCCUGGCCUGAUCUUGAAUGAUCCUGAUGUGCUCUGACUCUUUCCUGUAACAAAUACUUAGGGAGAAAGGAAAGAAUUUGAAUAAAUAAAAUGAAAAAAUUGAGAUCUACAAUACAGGACACCAUAGUAUUAGUGUGGGAAAGAUUUAAUGCAAAACUGACCAUGUUCCUCACGUAUGUGAGUCCACUUGUCAUGAGGUUACUCCUUGAUAUUUUACCCAGUGGAGAACGGAGAAUGGAGAAUGGAGAAUGGGAGAAUGGGAGAAUAGAGAAUGGGAAAGAACAAAUCUUUCCCAGGGAGGAGUAAAACUCAAACCUCAGCUUCUCAGACAGAAAGAAGGAGCAAGGAGGGAUGAUGCCAUGCGGAGAGAUAUUCUCCAUCAUUUAUUGCGCUCUGUUUCUUUCUUGGCCAGGGCAGCGUAGAUGGGAACAACCAAAGCACCCUGUCCCUCCUGUUCUCCCUCUGAUCUGCUGCUGAGCUGUGUUGUGCUAUCCACCACAGGGCGUCCAUAUCCUAACGCUCCCCUUGCCCUUUACCUUGUUUAGCCUUUUUUGCCAUCAUGAAAUAAUGUUCACAAUGGCAAGAACACAAAAUAGCUCAUAAUGUGCCUCAAACUGUGAGAAAAGCGCAUUCGAUCCUCCCCAAACACAGACCUGCUCACUUCAAAGGCGGCAAUAUUUAGAUAGUAAUCAACAUCGCGUUUUCUUCCCUUUCCUGGCCCAAUGUGUCUAUUUGCUCAGGCACUCUUUCCAUCCAUCCAGAAAACUCAAUGUGUCCAAAGCACACACGGGGCUGAGCAAUGAUCCCAGGCAAUGCCUGAACAGGGCAGCCCCAGGUAUGAUCCCAAUGACCUGGCUACUACAGUGCUGCCACCCUAUGGCAUGUGGUUUGCUCCUGGGUUGUUUUAUUCAUGGCUAAAACACUGAGUGAAGAAACAUCCUCUCCACCUUAGAAAUAGUGAAACAGGAGCAAAUAACAGUCUCGGAAUGUGAUCUAUAGCUCCCUGGAGGAAGAAGUUGUCCCUCAUGCCAUCCCCAUGUGUGGUACAUCUUCAAAUGAUGGACUGGGGAGAACCUAAUAUCUUCAGUUAUCAGAUACAGUGAUAAAUGAUUAAUAAAGAAUCAAACUGAAAACAA